Molecule: ribosomal RNA, 253 nt
Filed under: uncultured bacterium
Lineage: Bacteria
Description: partial 16S ribosomal RNA
Rfam family: Bacterial small subunit ribosomal RNA
Source: RNAcentral
UACGGAGGGGGCGAGCGUUGUCCGAAGUUACUGGGCGUAAAGCGCGCGUAGGCGGGUCAACAAGUCCGCUGUGAAAGCCCGAGGCUUAACCUCGGCGGGUCGGUGGAUACUGUUGGUCUUGAAGGUGCUAGGGGGAGAUGGAAUGACCGGUGUAGCGGUGAAAUGCGUAGAUAUCAAGAGGAACACCUGAGGUGAAGACGGGUUGCUAGGCUGACACUGACGCUGAGGCGCGAAAGCCAGGGGAGCAAACGGG